CAGGUGGGCCCCCCACCGGCCCUGCCAGUCCCAUCCGAUUUCCCGGGCCGCCACUAGGUCCAGCUGAUGGUUUGCAGUUUCCGACGAAGAAUUUCCUAGGGCGGAGAUACAAGGAGAGGCCAGACCUCUGGGGGCGGCGGAGGGAGACUCGGGCGCGGGGUUCCCUUAAAGGGCGGGGCAGAAGGGCCGACCCGGGCCCCCAGCAGAGGCCGGGCCAGUCCCGCCCUCACCCGAGCGUCUGGGCUUCCUUCCUUUCAAGGGGAGCGUGCGCUUCCCGCCCGCCUCGUUCAGGUGACGUGCAGGUCCCGGCCACAGGCAUUUUCACUCCGUGAUUCACUUCUUGAGCCCCAAAGGGCUCUAGCCUGUUGCAGACCAGCUUCGGCGUUUGUGGAGCUCCAGGUCAGAGCGUUAUUUGAGAAGCUUCUCUCUGCAUUUGGAAAUAUGGGCUCUCUGCCUCCGAGCUGCCUGAUUCCUGGGAAAAGCUUUCCUAUACCUUCCCUUUAUCAGAGCCCAAGGAUCAGAAAUGGGAUGGAAGGUUUGCAAUAUGUGGAAGAAUUUCCCCUGUGAGGCUGGGCAGCCGCAAGGAGCUCAGGGCUCUCUGAUCUCAAGGGCAUGUGAGCACCCUCUACAGACUGGUUUUCCUUUCAGUCCGGUAUUCAGCAAACAACACCACGAGGUGUCCAGCCCGCUGUUCUAAGCUGGCCUUUGUGUUGGCUGUUACGGUUUUGCACGACUGUAGGCAAAGGAUAUUUUCAGCUUCAUGAGGUGUUUUCCCAGGAGAUCCCCAAGGGAAGCAAAGGCAGUCUGCGCCCAGAGUGGACAUGCAUGGAUGCUAUUCUUCUCAUCGUUGAGGUGUUAAGUAAUUGGAUGAGGGCAAAGCCGGAGGAAUGUCUGCUCCCCGGCUCCGAGGAACGUUGAGGAAAGACAAAUUCAUUUCGGAGAGUGACCUGGACGGCACGAUGACAGCCGCGCUCACACGUGAAGCCAGAUCUAAGCGCGUGCACUGCUGAGCGCAGUCUCCUCCCAUCGCAGAGUUUAUCCCAAGCUAAACACAAUAACAACGGCUCAGGGAGCCAGGCGGGAAGGAGCUCCAGCCUGGGUUUUGAUCCCCUUCCAAAAGCAACUCAGACAACUUGAGCUUAAGCCUUCCUAUCACGCAGCGCAUGAACCCUACAAUCCUAGGUGUUUAAUAUUAAUAAUAGUUUGUAAAACACCUUGGUAAGCAGAAGAGGAGGGUAAGCCCCUCUGUGGAAGCGCUGAGACCACAGCAGCAUCCUGGAUCCUCCCGCUCUCGCCAACUCCUUCCCACCUGGGCUGCAGGCAUGGCCGCCCCGUGUCCCAGAGCCCCUGAAAUGGCCGGCGGGGUUCCCUCCCAGAGAAGACACCACAUAGAAGAAGGGGCUGUUUGGGGGGAAUAUUUUGUCAGUCCGGCUAAUUGAAAUGUGCGAUACCCUCUGAGAGCAAGAGGCCGAACUCUCAGCGGCUCCCAUCGGAGGAGAUAAAACCUAAUGGUUUGGCCUCCCAAACCUAACUUCUCUCUCAGCUUUACAGCUCAGAAGGGAGGUGGACCCUUUGGAAGGAAUCCAAAUGGAAGGAAGAUAAAGGCAAGUUUCUUGAAGAAAGGCACAAGUGUUGGUACUGCUUAGUGUAACUCCUGAAAGGGUAACUUGCAGUUCACAAAUAUUAUUACAGCAGACAGUGAGAACAGAAUGGGGAGGGACAGGGCCAGAACUGCCCACACAGCCCGCGUGUGAUGGGCUUAGGAGGCAGAGGAAAUGAGAAGUCUGCUGUGGAGGAAGGAGCAGUGGCCCACAUGGCUACUCACUCAUUCAUUCACUCAGCCAGGUUUGCUGAUCAUGACUAUGUGCCAGUCUAGAAAGUGUGACUUUGAUGUAGUUGGGGUUUUCUGGGAUGUGUAGUCUAGGGGGGAUGGGACUCUCUGGGUUGGUCACAGGGAUGGCUGUGAGAAUCACAGGAACAUUCUGAUAACCUGGGGACCUGCAGCAGGGCCAGGACAGGGGAAUCUGGGCAGUUGUGACUCCUCGUUGGAAGAUACCAGGCCUUCCUGAGUAGGUUGAUGAGCUGUUAGCAGACAUUCCAGUUGACUUUCCAGCUUCCAGUCAGAAAGAAAUUACACUGGGAAGGAAGGAUGUAGUUAUAAGGGUACAUUUGAUUGCUUUGGGUGGUAGGGGAUUGGAGAGCAGAAACCUAGCAAACAGCUGUGGUCACCUUGGCGUGAGGGUCUUCUGAGAUCCAGUGGGGCACCUGUGGGCAUGUGGGGGAAAGCAAGGGGUGGGUAAGCCAUGUGUGGAGAGGGAA
Talpa occidentalis (Iberian mole) is the source of this 2319-nucleotide long non-coding RNA. RefSeq lists it as uncharacterized. The record is from RefSeq and is a predicted model, not a curated record. Lineage: Eukaryota; Metazoa; Chordata; Mammalia; Eulipotyphla; Talpidae. The transcript is spliced from 4 exons.